RNAcentral lists this long non-coding RNA (6641 nucleotides) under Vitis vinifera (wine grape). Its description in RNAcentral is "long non-coding RNA (VVIN_LNC006528)". The record is from RNAcentral. Lineage: Eukaryota; Viridiplantae; Streptophyta; Magnoliopsida; Vitales; Vitaceae.
AGCAUGUAAUUUUUGGUGGUAAAUUGAAAGUUGGAUAUGUUAAAAUGUUAGUUUACUUGAUCUAAACAUCUUUGGUUGGUUGCUAUAAUAAUUUUCAAAACUCUUCCUUACUGUUAGUUUUCACUCAACCACUAACCUUCUAGAUUUAGAAUUUGUUUCAGCAACUUUAGAAUAUUUUUAUAAAAAAAAAUCCAAAACUUGUAUGACUUUCCUCACUUCUUGAACUUGAAUUUAAAGUUUCAUUUGAGUUAGAAAUAUAUUUUAUAAUAGAAUAUAUAAAUGAGUCUUUAGGGGGGCUUCGUUUUCACCCAAUUCUGGAUACCUGAUAACUUUUUGCAAAAAUAAAAUACCAGACGAAUUUUUAAAUUUAAUUCAAUAUUUUUUUCUCAAUUCUAGGCUUCUUAAAAUUGAUAUUAGGCUCAUAAAAUAUUAAAAAGUAUGCAUUUUUUAGGGAGAUAUGUUUUUUCAAAGUCAUAUCUACUGUACAUGUUGAAUUCUAGGCAUCUGCUUAGCUUGAGUGUUUUAAAAAUAUUUUUGAGUAUUAUCCAACCCCGGAUUCAUUUUUUAUGUGAUAUAGACACUUUGAACUAUGUGUGUGAUUUUUUGUAUGAUUUUAUGUGAUCAUUUAUUAUUUUUAAAAUUUCAUUUAUGCAUGUCACUUUUCCUUAUCUAAUCUGGAUUUUGCAAAACCUUUAGGUGUCUUUGCCGUAAUUUGUCCUUUGAAUGAGUGUUUGGCUUUCAGUAUGUCAAUCUAGAUGUGUAGGAGUUGUUUUCUGAAAUUUUUUGUAAUUUAAUUCCACCCUAAGCCAUUUUUUAGAAUUUGUUUUUUUUUGCUUCCUUUGCCAAUUGCAUGAUGUUGAUCUUGUACAUUGCUUGAAUUGGCUAUUUAUUUUUAGAGUCAUUUGACUUAACUUGGCUCAAUUUUGGCUUUGGUACUGUGUAUUAGACAUAAUGAAUAUGUUAUAUAAUUCAUACUUGUCCUAAUCACUCUAGCAUUUUUGGAGGAAUCUUAUAAAUUAUGCAUGUUAUCCAGGUACGCUCUCUAUCACUUACUUUUCGAAAUUUUAUGAACAUGCAUGUUAUUGUGAAUUUCAUUUAUGCUUGAUGUGAUCCUUAGGUGCUUAGAUGUAUGCUUGAUUGCCUUAAUAUAUGUUCGAUCGCUUGAUUUGCCCUUAUUAAAACCAAUGUUGUGUGCUAUAUUUUUGUACUAACUCUAAUGUUUUAUGAUAGCACUUAAGAAGCAGUUCGGGUACGCAUCCUAACUCUCCUUUAUUGUGAUUUGAUCUUGUUUGACAUGCUAUUUUUUGAAAUCACCUUAGUCUACCUAGGUACCCUCAAUUAAUCAAUUGAUUGCCACAUUUCCCUCAACUUAGUCAAUAGAGACCUCUUUAGGGCUUAGAGGGGUGCUACCUCUUAAAGAUAUUUUCCCAAUAGGUAACCUAAUCCUCGGACCCAGAUUUGGGUUUUUCAAAGACAUGUUAUUCCAAAACCAUGGAGUCACUUUUUUUAGGGGUUUUUUUUCUUGUUAUAUUUUCUCUUUAAAAUAAAAAUAAAAUAAGUGGCGACUCCAAUUUUUCCAAAACUAAAUUUUCCACGAAAUAAAAACGAGUCUCACCAAUUGAGUGGGGGCGCACGUGAGAAAUGCGGGUCACAAAUGCCUUUAUUUAGAAUACCUAUUGUUACCAGUUUCCAUCAACAAUGACCCAAUCCAUAGGAAAUAUAUGAUUAGCUUACGAUCUUACUCGUAGAUCAAAGUCAUUGCUAACUUUAGCACAAGCUCAAUAUUCUCUCAAGGUUGAGGAUAACACAAUGAAGCAGCUUAGUGAGGUCAUGACUACUUGAUGGCCUUAAUUCAUGACUCAUCGUAGGUCAUAUCUAAUGUGUAACCAUACACACUAGUGCACUCAGCAUGGGAAAUCCAUCCUGAUAGCCAAGACCAAUCAUCCCUCCAAUUAGGAGAUGGUGAACUACAACCUCUAAUGGGUUACCUAGACCCAUGAAUCGGCUGUGAACAAGUCAUCUAUUUGCAAGGAACCCAUGAUUUAAAUCUUUUAUGCAACUCCUAAUGCACCUAAGUCAUGUACAAUGCAAAAGAUGCAGGCAACAAUGCUCAUAAAGUAUAAUACAUGAAAUAAAGUUAGAUAAAAGUGAAACUAAAACAUCAUUAAAUAAAUAAUGAAUUCCAAUUUUAUCACAUCAUGUCAUGUUUUUAAGGGCUAUAUCCUAAAAAAUAGUGGCUUCUUCAUAAUCCAAUUUUGAAAUAGACUCAACAUCUCAUUAUAGAAAGUCAACUACACUCCUAUAUCUUAUAUAUACUACAUGGAAACACAAUUUUCUAGGUUCACGACCUAUUUUCCACUACAUGCAGGCUCUUUAUAAACUUGCAUCUAUAAUCUAACAAGGUGGAUGUUAUCAACCUUUCAAAAUUACCUCUACAAUCCUUAAGUCUCACAUCCUCUUAUCAUGUGAUCAAUUGACAUACCAACUCACAAAGAGCUUAUGUCAAGCUUCAAUUAAAGAACAACUAUAACCAUAGUUUUCUUAAACACACUUCCUAAGGAUCACCCAAUGGGAAAAAUCAUGGUGCCUAUAUUGAAAAUACCUAUUUCCACCGACUUUCAUUAGUAAUGACUGAUUCCAUAGAGAAUAUAUAAUCACCUUAGGAUCUCACCCAUAGGUUAAAGUCACUAUAAACUUUGGCAUAAGUUCAAUAUUCUCUCAAGGUUGAGAGAUCAUACAAUAUAACAAUUUGGUGAGGUCUUGACUACCUGAUGGUCUUACGUUAUAACUCACCACAGGUCCUACCCAAUGUGUAACCAUACACACUAGAACAUUCAUUAUAGGAAAUUCAUCUUAAUGACCAAAAUUAGUCGUCCCUCCAAUUAGAAGGUAGUGUACUACAACCUUAAAUGAAUUGCCUAAAUUCAUGAACCAACUAUGAAUUAAUCAUCCUCUUUUCAAGGAACCUAUGACUUGAAUCUUUAUUGCAACUCCUAUUACACCCAAAUAAUGUCCAAUGCAAAAUAUCUCAGGCCAGAAUACACAUAAGGUAUAAAACAUGAAACAUAUAGAAUAAAGAGAAAACUAAAAUUUUUAUUAAAUAAAUAAUAAAUCCAUAAAAUGUUACAUCAUGUCAUACUUUUAAGGGUUUUACUAUAAUACUAUAUUUGACUUUACAUGCUCAUCUAAAGGUCAUUUUUCAAUAGCCAUUUUUCUCAGUGAAUAGCAUUGUUGCAUACCUAAUAUCCCCUCCUCCAACAUAGGAGUCCUACUACUUGAACCUAUAAUUUAGCUUUGGUACCAUUUGUUAUGCUAGUGGAAUCUUUAGUACAAACAUGAUAAUAUAAUAACACAAAGGUCAAAGAAUCCACACACAAAGGCAUCUAAAGUUUUAAUGUGGUUUGGCCAACUGUGUCUAUAUUCAUAAAUGAGGGAGAACGUUCUACUAUAUUAUAAAGAAUAUCAUAGAGGAUAAGUCUUGAAACCUCUCACUUUACCAAGUGUCUCACACUCUUCUCACAUGUCUAUCUAUUAUUUAUAAUCUUUAAAAGUCUAUCUCCAUCUCAUAAUUUUUUUUCCCUCAUGACCUAGAAUAUUUAUAUAGAUAUUCAUAGUAGGUUUAUUUAUUCUACAAGGACUCUAAUUACAAUGAAAUAUGAACUUAGAAAAUCAUGCAUGAUAUUUUUUAUAAAAAGAAAUAUAUGUUGGCAUAGAGCCUUAGAACGUAUGACAUGAUAUAACAUAUUAAGAUUCAUUAAUAAGGUUAUUUAUUUAUGUUUUUGGUUCCCUUUAUUAUCUCUUUUGUGUUAAUUAGUUAUUUGAGCAUUCACACCCAUAUCCCUUGUAUUAUACAUGACUUGGGUAGACUAGGAUUCAUAUAAAAUAUCCAAGUCCAUGUUCCUUGCAAGGUGAUAAGUUGUUCAUAAUCGAUUCAUGGAUUUAGUUCAUUCAAUAAAGACUACAGUGCACUACCUUCUAAUAGGAGGGAUAACUUAUCUUAUCCAUCGAGAUGGGUUCCUAUGGUGAAUGCACUAGUGUGUAUAGUUACAUAUUGGACAUGACCUACAGUCAAUCAUAAUGUAAUGUUGUUAGUUUUCAUGAUUCAUUGAGCUACUAUAUUGCAUGGACUUUCAAUCUUGAGAAGAUAUUGAGCCUGUGUUGAACUAUAAUGAGGUUAGAUAUCCCUACAAAUUGGGUCACUAUUGAUGGAGACUGGUAAAAAUAGGUUUUCUCAAUAAAAGCACCAUGAUAUUUCACGGGAUUGGCAUAGUGUGUCCCCUUGGGUGAACCAAAGGACAUGUGAUCUGGAAGACUAUGACCAUAACAAUUCCUUUAAUGGAGUUUGACAUAUAUUCCUUGGAGAUAGAGUAUUUCAAUUGAUCACAUAUUAGGAGGAUUUGUAACCCAAGGAUUGGAAAGGUAAUCUUGAUAGAUUGAUAGCACUAUCUUGAUAAAUUACGGGCGCCAAUUCAAAAGAAGUUUGCAUGCAGUGGAUAGUAGGUCAUGGACUUGAACUUCACCUCUUUGUAAUUUCAUAGGAUACUGGAGUGCGGUUGAUUCUCUUUAGUAGAAUGUUAAAUCAACUUCAAAUUUGGAUUUUAAGAGAACCAAUAUUUUCUUAUGGGUCCCAAUGGUCUUUGCUCGAGAGCCUAAUUCAUGGUGGCAUGUUUUAUUUUAGGGAUUUGGGUUUCUAGUUUAUAAGUGCGCAUAAGGGAGUUUUGGUAAAGCGCAAUGUUGAACUACAUGUUAUGAAUUAUCUUUCUAAACUUGACUAAUUAAUUAAUUAGAACCCAGUAGGGCUAAUUAAUUAAUUAGAAUCUAAGAAUGAUAGAUUAUGUAACUCAAGCUUAAUUUUGGGCUCAAGUCACUUAAGCCCAUAGGGAAGCUUAUAAAUACCUCCUUAAGAGUUAAGACACUAAAUUUUUCUACACUUUGUUUUCCAAAAAGAUUUAAAAAAAAAAAAAAAAAAAAAACCCUAGUCACAUUCAAGGAGGAAGAGAAGCCCACACUUCUCUUGUGUGUCAGGAUUUGUGUGAGUAUAGAUUGGGAAGAAGAAUAUCAAGUAGAUGAGAUCUAGAAUUUUUUUAUGACUUCAACCAUUAGAUUCGAUCUAGGAACAUCCAAAUCGCAAGUAUGCUCACUAUAGCUCUAGAUUUAGAUUCUCAUAUCGUUUUUUAUACUAUGAUUUCCAUUAUAUUGGAUCUAGAGAGACUAAGGAUAGAUUGCAUGCACCCUAUUCAAUUCAAGAACAUAUUAGAGAUUAGCAAUCCAAGUGUAGACCCUCAAUUUUGUCCCUUUAGCACAUGUUUUAAAGUCCAUUACCAAUAUUUUACAGUAAUCUCUUGGUAGCCUAUAGCUACUCACGCUACUUACCUUUCUUGAGCCACCUCGGAGACUUUAGUUGAGGGGUUUACCCGGCUCCACAUUAUGACCUUGGCUGCCCUUCAAGUUUAGAUUAGGCUUCACUUAAGUGCACUUUAGGUUAGACUUAGUUAGGCCUACCUAGUCUCACCCUAGGCCCACUUAGGUCCACCUUGACCCAUUUAGGUCCACCUUGACCCACUUAGAUUCACCUAAGCUCACUUAGGUUCACUUUAACCCACUUAGACUCACCUAAGCUCAUUUAGGCACAUCUAGGCCCACUUUGGUUUGCUAGGUCCACUUAGGCAUCCUAGCCCACCUAUGUUACCUUUUAGAUAACUCCUGUAUGACUUGCAUAGUUCGCAUGAUUUGUAUUUCUUAACACUUGCAUGAGCUUGAUUUCUUAUUCAUUUAUCUAUUUAUUUAUUUAGUUAUUUAUUUAUUAUAUUUGUUUAGCUAUUUGUUUAUUGUUAUCUAUUUAUUUGUUUUUACAAUAUUGCAUGUGAUCAAUUAUCUUAUCUCUUUUUAUGAUUACUAUUAUUCUUACUAUUAAAUGUUUUUACUAAUAUGUACGUUAAUAAAUUUUUUUAGUAAGUUAUUUUGUAUUUUAUUUUAUUUUAUUUGGUUAUUUUCUUAAAGUGCUUUUGAUAUAUUUUUUUUGGUAAGUUAAGUUUUUUAAUAUAUAUAUAUUUGUUUAUACCAAUUUGAUAAGUUAUUAUUAUUAUUAUUACCUUUAAAAAGGUUUGUUAAUAUUUUUAUUUUUAUUUUGAAUUAUGAUGUAUAUAAAAUAGAAAAGCACUUCCCAUAAAAGUUAAAAUACCAUUUUGCAAUUAAAACAUCACUUUCCAUAUAUCCACGUACAUAUCCCAAAAGGAAAUAAAAUAUUCCAUGAAAAGGAUAGGUUGCCAUAUAAAUGAGACAAAAAGGAAUAGAAGAAGGACGGUGGGACUUUUUCUGGGAAAAAUGAGACUUUUUCUUUGAGGGGAGAUCAACACACGCAAGAGUUUUUUUGGAAGAGCGGUAGAAGACUUGAAAGACUAAUUGGGCUGCCAUUUCGACACAUCAAGAGAGUAUUUUUCCGAUACAAUACAGGUUAGUUUUCGAUUUUUGAUACAGUAUUUAUUUUAUUUUUUUAGUUUGGGUUUUAGUUGAUUGGUCUAAUUAAUUGUUUGUGAUAAAUUCUUUUAAAUCUCGAUUUCAAACAAUCUUUUAUUUUUCUUAGAUUAAAUGUCUCUCUUUUAUGAUUGCAAUUCAUUAGUUCUAUGCUAGUUUAUUUUAAU